Molecule: long non-coding RNA, 1625 nt
Filed under: Marmota monax (woodchuck)
Lineage: Eukaryota; Metazoa; Chordata; Mammalia; Rodentia; Sciuridae
Source: RNAcentral
UUUUAUUUGGGUGAAACUUUGCAACCACCAAAACUUCUUGUCAUUUCAAAGCUUAGGGAACUCUUGUCACAGUUGUUGUUUGUCUCUGAAAAUAAGGUUCCUUUUGGAUACAGCCAAAUGUAAGACAGUAUGAAUGCCUGUUAAAAGCAGGCUGACUGGAUAUGGGUGGCAGGUCAACCAAUUAACACAUAUUGUCUUCUAUUUGUCAAAAGCAAAGGAUGGUGCCCUAAUUUUAAAUAAUCAUCUUCAGACACUAGAUUUCAAGAAACAGGCCAGAACCCUAUUUUCACUCUCUGUAGCAUCAACUCUUUCCUGAAGGGAAUUGAAUGAGUGGUUUUCUACUCAGAGAUCUGGUUCAUAGCAACUGAUUUCAACUGUUUUAUCAGACAUUACUUCAGGUCAGUGCUGCACACUGGUAUCCUCCCAACUCUGGAGGCUGGAGGAUCACAAGUUCAAGGCCAGCCACAGCAAUUUAGUAAGACCCUGUCUCAAAAAGGGGGACUGGGUUGUGGCUCAGCAGUAGAGUGCUCGCCUAGCACGUGUGAGGCACUGGGUUCAAGCUUCAGCACCACAUAAAAAUAAAUAAAAUAAAGGUAUUGUGACUAAAUACAAUAAAAAAAUAUUUUAAAAGGGGUGGAGCUGGGGAUAUGACUCAGUGGUAAUGUGCUCCUGGGUUCAAUCCCUAGUGCCCACCCCCAUCCCCAAAAGAAAACCAAAACCAACCCCCCCUCCCUUUUUGAGGCACUAGGGAUUGAACCAGGGCCUCUCGUAUCUUAUGCAAGUAUUCUACCACUGAGGUACAUCCCCAACCAUUUUUACAGGGUCUCACUGAAUUGCCCAGGCUGGCCUCAAAAUUGUGAUCCUCCUGCCUUCUAAGUAGCUGGGAUUCCAGGCAUGGUCACUGUGCCUGGCUAUUUUACAACCUGAUGGCUAUUUUAGGCUGCCUUUAUUGUUGCUAUAUUAGAAACUUGGAAGUAUUUUCAAAGCAGCCAAAUAAUUCCAAUUCCUAACUAAGGAAAGAAGCAGGUGAAAUGAUUUUUUAAAAAAGACUAGAAGUGGGCUGAGGUUGUAGAUCAGAGGUAGAGCACUCCCCUUGUAUGCGUGAGGCACUGGGUUCGAUUCUCAGCAAUACAUAAAAAUAAAAUAUUGUGUCCACCUAUAACUAAAAAGUAAAAAAAAAAAAAAAAAAAACAGAAGCAUUUGCCUUUCCUCCCAGAGUUCAUUUCAAAAAAAUCAUAGGCUUCUGACUAAAAACCAAUCUUGCUGAAAUACACUGGUGAUUAUGGAUGCCUUUUUAGUUGGCUAAUUUGUUUCAAAAUAAAAUAGACCUGGAGCACACUGUUGACCCCUAAUUGGUUCAACUGUUCAGAUGGAGCAUGAAGAUUUAUCCAAGCACUUGGUUUAUCCUGUUAUGUGUUUGCUAUGGAAAAGUAUUAGCAAGCACUGCCUCACUUUUUUCCACUGGGGACCAUGUUCCUUGUUUCAUUUUCAUUGUUUCUCUGCUAACGAGAUCAUGUAAUGACAAGACUCAAGUCCCUUCUGAUCUUAGCAAUGCUUUUUAAACCCUCACUUUCACAGAAAGGCACUUACCUCUUAAUAGGCAGCCACAUUUCAGUCAGUUUGAU